Molecule: long non-coding RNA, 662 nt
Organism: Tachysurus vachellii
Lineage: Eukaryota; Metazoa; Chordata; Actinopteri; Siluriformes; Bagridae
Exons: 2
Source: RefSeq, a predicted model, not a curated record
CUCAGUCAUGAAGUGUUAGUCACAGGGCUAUAAACACUCAUAGAGCACUGAAGCAUGAGACACCAAUGCAAAGUGUGUGUGUGUGUGUGUGUGUGUGUGUGUGUGUGUGCACUGUAGUGUGAUGGAGGUUUUUGUACGAUGGUUUCAUUAGAAUGUAUCACUGUGGUGGACUUUUGGUGGAGGCUCCAAACUCAUUGUGAACACUGGUCCCUCCGUGUCUCUGUUCCCUCCGUCCCCUCUGCAGUCUUCUGAAGGAUCGUCAUCGCUGCUCUGCCUGCUGUCUGGCUACUCUCCACAGGGGGCACUGGUGAGCUGGACAGUGGACGGCUCAGAGGUGAAGAACGGGGUUCUGACCAGCGCUGAAGAAGAGAAGAACGGCCGUUACAGCCGCAGCAGCACCCUGACCCUCAGCAAAGACCUCUGGGAAAAGGGGGAGGAGUUCAGCUGUAAGGUCUCCCAUAACAACGCCAAUCAUCCAGUCACGUUCAGAAAGAGUCACUGUGAAGGCUAGUGGAUCCAAGAUAGAGUUUAACAUAGAGCUGCUUAUCAUCCAUCCUAAAUAGAGUUUCAAUUCUACACAAUGCUGACAUUUCUGUCUUUACUCUGUUCACUGUCCUGUUGCUCUUCCUGUAGUUUUUGCUGAAAUAAAGCUGAGUUUUGGA